RNAcentral lists this ribosomal RNA (87 nucleotides) under Cladonia gracilis. RNAcentral's name for it is "partial large subunit ribosomal RNA". It matches the Rfam family "Eukaryotic large subunit ribosomal RNA", at positions 1 to 89 of the family's 3401-position model. Lineage: Eukaryota; Fungi; Ascomycota; Lecanoromycetes; Lecanorales; Cladoniaceae. The record is from RNAcentral.
UUGACCUCGGAUCAGGUAGGGAUACCCGCUGAACUUAAGCAUAUCAUAAGCGGAGGAAAAGAACCAACAGGGAUGCCUCAGUACGCA